UAUGAACCUAAUGCACAUUUCACUAGACUUAAGUGUGCAAAAAGUAUUUAAAAACACAAGGAAAGGGGUUGCAUGCACCGGGGCUUGCCUGGGUAACACUAGGUUAGUGUUGUUAGACGAUGAUCCUUUGGCGAGCAGCUCACAUCCUGGCACUUGAUCAGACAUGUUCGUCCAUCAGCAUCACCGUGCGGAGUAGCCCGCGCUUGGGGUCGACUUGGCUCGUCUUCCGCAUCACGCGAUUAAUUAACGUACCUGAAUGGAAUGCAUUAUGCACAUGAAUGCAUAUCGACGAAAAUAUUACAAACCUAAAUAGUGUUACGCGAUAGCGGAACACCUAGUGGCAAGGCGUUGUACAAUUUUAUAAGAAAAUACUAGUUAUCGACAGACGACUACGCGCAAUAAUUACGCUUCUCUAAAUUAACCGAAUCUAACGCAAACAUUACGAAACACAAACAAUACAUACUUAACAUAAUUAGCCUAACCACAACUUAUCAGUUAACAAAUUUAAUUCUGAACUAAUCCCUUGCCUCAUAAAUUAUACUACAUCUUUAUAAGUGAUUAAAAUAUUUUAUCAUCACGCAUGCCUACCAAAAUUCUAUUCGGUCCACUAAAUCAGCUAAGUGACCGGAAUAGCGAAAUAACUCGCUAUAACUGAAUCUGGCUCGAUAAUCGCAAGAACUGCGAAGUCGACGAGAGUUUCGUGACUGACGCAAUUUAUCGAGCACCUUAAUGAGUAUCGCACUAGCACAUUAAUUUAUUCAACGAUCAAACUAUUCUGAAUAAUUUAUCAGCUUACCGUUUCAGCAGCUGACUCGAAGCCACAAGAUCGGUAGCGAUUUUCCGAUCCAAGCAAUUUGUCGAGCGCUUGGGAAAUAUCGCGCUGCUAGCUUCGUCUUCAUCUGAUUCUUGGGAUUCUUAUGACGCGCGGGACAACGACGAGAUCGUGUUUGGAGCAAGUUGGUGAGGUGGGGUUCGAGCAGAGGAUGACGGGUUCGACGACUCGACUGUGAAUGACGUAACGACUAGCUGGGGCAGGAUCCGAGCUAAUAGGCACAGUAUGAGACAGCGACCAGCACGACGAACGAACUAAGUCGCGGUAGGGCCGGCCGACGAAGGAAAACAAGGAACACGACGGUCAGUCGGUGAGCUGACAAGUUCGGAUAGGGACAGCCAUGGCGAAUAAGAAAUCGACGACCGGUGAAACCGAUAGCCGAACAGAAACUGCACAGAUCGACGACGCGAGACUCGAUCUGACGAGCACGAUGCAAGGGAAGGCGUCGCAGUAGCUGCUCUGACAUGAAUUACAUGCUGCCGAGUGCGACAGAGGCCGGGAAGCUGCCGACGGUCGGCCCAACAGCGAGCAGGGGUACCAGGACACACGUGUAGGAAUAACCUUGACAGGACGCGUCCGAGCGAGACCACGGCACUAGGAAAUAGCAGGCGACUAAGCAAAAAUCCAAGCUGGGCACCGAGGAAGAAAUCCGGGCGCGGCAACCGGGAAACUGCGCGGGCCAACAGGGAGCAGCGCGCGCGAAGGGAGAGACAGGGCGCGCAGAGGCUCGCGCGCAAAGAUCCUGAACCCGAGCAGAAGUCCGAGCGCCAUGGGAGCUCGAGACCACCGGCGCGCAGAACAGGAAGCAGGAUGCAACGCGAGGAAAUGACCAGGGAGAAGGAGAUUUCGGCUGGGAGUAGGAAAAGACAGCGGCACCGAAAAAAAAUCUUGAGCAGGGGCGGCAGCGCGAUAAGGCUGGGCGCUGAAAUAUCUCCUCAGGCACACAGAGCGGCGCAGGGACAAAGAUCGUGGCUGGAAAAAUCUGGUACCGGCGGCGGGAGGAUAGAGCUGCCCACUCGGCUGGAGAUUAGAACGAUUGGAGAUAUUUUUCUUUUUUUUCUUAACACUAACGUGCUCCAUGGUAAGCUUUAGAUUGUGUUUAAUUAAUCUGGAACCAAACAAAUAUUCACUCGCUACCCAACCAGUUGGAUCAGAACAGUAUUAAAUACCAAAUUUGGAUAGAAUUUGAUUUAGCGGAUACUCUAGAGUUCAGAUAAAUUUUUAUCAGUUAUUUUUAUCGGAAUGUAUUUUUAUCUGAAGAUAUAUAUCUAAGCGAGAAGCAAUUAGACCGAAUUAAAUCGACAUUUCGGUUACACAUAUUAUUUUCUUGGACUUUAAAAUAGGACACCAAAUCUGCUAACAAUUGCUAUGGUUUUGGUUAGUUCAGGUUUAUUUUAUUUAAACAGCCUGCUGUUAACAGAUCAAACUAAACGAUAUCAGAUUCGAUGUUUUAAUAGACAUUCGAUUUAGUUGAACUUAAACGAAUCUCACCGCUACCUGAAUAUUCGACUAAAGAACAAUUUAAUUGAACAUCCGUAGAUGUGAUGUUACGGAUAACAAAAAGGGGACUACUUUAUUUUUCACCGGAAACUUAGUCGUCGGGUUCUAUUUAAUUUGUUCGGGAUAAAAGUAUCCGAGUGGUCGGGCUUCCGAAUUCGGAUUCGCGCGAGCGAUGAAUUUUAAUUAAUCAUCGGACGCACCGAUAUUCCGAACAAAUAUGUUCCGAACAGCACGAAAAUUUAGGACGAGCCCGAAUAGAUGAAAAUAAAAACUAUGUCGCACUCACGACAGACGGCACAGAUGCGAUAUUAAAAUCGCGAUAGGCGAAGAUUAUUAAAAUUUCGCAUCCGUUUUAUCCACUGAUAUUGCGUGCUUAAAUCCGUACUCGUUGUCGAGAGGAAUAUAAACACCUGGGGUGUUACAGCCCUCCCCCCUUAAAAGAAUCUCGUCCCGAGAUUCGGAGCGAAAGACUUUCAAGAGUAGAGAAACAUGUAACCCACGUCCAUAUCAGCGGUAAUCAUAAGGCAUUUCUGAGCGAAGACAAGUGUUUCAGAACGUUGCUUCUCUAGUGGACAUAGCAUGAAUCGCCUUAGGCUAAUUUAGAAUGUCCAUCAAUAGAGACCAUGUCUGCCAGAGGAACACAUAAGGUUCCAUGUGUGCAGUUUGCUUUUUCUGAUGACAUUGUACUAUCUGAGUCUGUUGAGAAAGCGCCAGAUAUGCAAUUUUACCCAAAUAGAACCAGAUGCACCAUCUUGGGUAAAACACACAGAAGGAGGUUUACCAACAAGUGGUCGCGAUAAGUUCAUAGCACACGAGACGGGUGUGAAUGUCGAACAACAUCACAGUUAACUCGUGUCCCGCUAGAAAAUCUAACUCCCAGAAGGUGAGAUAGAUUCGAGAGAAUCACCCGCAAAGGGAUCUGUAGAUACGGACUUUACAACCAGCCCAUUGAAUCCAGCACUAACCAUGGCUCGACUUGAUCACCCAUGCUGGAAAAACACACACGAGGCGAUCGAGGCAUGACUAGAGCGAUGAUUAGGUGGUUACUGGUCGACUUAACUUAACUUUUGUGAGUACUUUCUCAGGAUGGGUUGAACCAAAGUGAGUUCAGACAACUCGAUAAAACUACUUUUGACAUUGGGCAUGUCCUCUCAGUACCAUCGGCAAAUCAGGGUGAAGAGUUCACUCUUGUUAACAGUUGAUCAUGUAUUUGAGGAGAAAUCCAUUUGGUCAGGUUGUUCAUUAGUUUCUUCAUGCGAGAUGCAUUAUCCACUUGGUUAGGGAAUACAUGGAUUAAAUAAGAGAGCGAAUGAACAACUCCUGCAUCUCAGCAGCAGGGGAAAUCCAAUCUCCAUUUUGAGAGCUAAUCAGUGGUCUCUCGACACUAAAAAGCUCCAAGGCUUCACCUUUACACAAAGGAUGUAAAGGGAACUUGUAUGAGUAGUCACCAUCAAAGUAAAGGGACAAGAGACCACACAUUAAAGGGGUAUGCCCUUUUGAUCCAACGAAGAUGACAGAUGUUGCUUGGUCACUUCGACAAACAACACCGGAAUCGUUUCAAGGAAGAGAUCUACGGAAGAUAGCAUGUUAGUGUGGUUCCAUAAUGGAUCAUAGCCAAGAACUUCGAUACUAGCGUACCGAAUAGUACUACCAUGUGUCGGCCGCCACAUGAGACUUUCGGAUUUACGCGGCACCCUAAGUUAUUGACUAGGACACCAUCAUCGAACUAGCACCAAUAAUGAAUCUUAUGUAGCAGAAAUAGAUUGUGCCAAGAUAACCCAUUGAUAUAGUCUCAUAAUGGAUCACAACUACUAAUCGCGAUACCAGCGUGUGCCGAGCAGCACAACCGUGUGUCGAUCGUCCACAGGAGGCCCUCGGUUUCAUCGCGGCACCAUCGAUUUUAGUCACAACACCAUUACAAGACGUAACCAAUAAGAAAUCUCGCGCGACACCAAUAGAUUGAGCAAGGGUGACAAUAUACAAAGAGAUACUCCACCAGUAAAGAUGGUUACAAGCAGAGAACCAAAUAGAUCAUGGCCCGAUGAAAUGAACAAGGCAUGGCCAUAACCUAAACUUGUUGAAAGGAGUACGAUGGGAGACUGUUAAUUUAGCCCCAAGCAUAUUUCUAUGCCCAUCAUAGAGAUUACAAGGUCAAGGAUGAGUAUCUGAUUAGAUACGGAAGGAAAACAAUCAUAAGAUUAAGUUGGUAUGCCUUUGAUAGAUAUGGGGAAACCAAAGGCAUGAAAUUCAAGAAAAUGAUCGGACAGGUCUUUCCUAGGUUGGGUUGAUAAAACAACAUGGCGAUCCUUAAGAAGAAGCAAACUGAAAUUAGGGGUAUCAGCUUGCACCAACAAAGCAAAGGCAUGGUUUUGGAUGGAAAUAGGACCAUAAAAGAGUUAUAAGCUAAUUGCCCGGAAUACAGACUCGAGAUUCUUGUUUUAAGCUUGGGUACAUUUUAUGUUCAACAAAGAAAUUAUCUAGGCACUUAUUUUUAUGUGUUUGGUCAUAGAGUGAUAAUGGACAAUUCAACUUUGGGUUUAAACAAACAAACUACUAACCUUCUAUCAGUACAUCAAGCACCAAAGCAAACACAUAUAUAACACCUAAAUGUAUUACCUAAAGAAUGAAGGACAACUAUUUCCUUAGGGUUCAUAAUACAACGUCACACCACAAUAUCUACAAUCACUGGUUGCUGGAGUAAAGACGAGGGAAGCAUUUUGGAUGUAUAGGUGACAAACAUGAUGCAACAAUCAGGAUGCAUGCUCGUCCUAUUCGUCCUCACUGAUUUUGCCAACACACUGUGGCAAUAACGUUCUAUAUCGGUGGCAUACUUACGAUUCUCACGGUAUUUUGCUAGUCGUCAGCUACACAUACGUUUUCGAGGUUAGUGUACCUGCAGAAAAGUUUCAUCACAGCCCAAUUUCCCAUGAUGCAGUUCACACAUGACAGUUUAUCACAGUUUAUACUCCAUAUAUUGCUAUAUGGAGGCCAGCUCAUCAUUAAGCGCCGAGCCACGCAUAGGCGCCGUUGCCACACUUUAACCAUAGGGCAACUCAUUAUGGUAACUCACCUUCUUACCUGAGCGUAGGUGCGUCGUUACAAGUACAUUACACUUCUCAGUAUUCCCAUGUCUGUAUACCCAUACACAUCCAUGGGGUACUGAAUUCCCGAAAAAGUAAAUACGCCACAUCGCAGCCUUCAUAUAUACAUAUGUGGAACAUGUAUAUAAUCAAGCGCUACAAUUAAGCACUUCCCUAGACCGACAGUUGUUCGGUCAUGCUCUCACAUCUCACCUUACCUUGAGCGUCGAUCCAUUCAAAACUGAAUGGCCUUAAAAAUAACAAUACACAUGUAUGCAAUACCCACCCGGUUGUGGGUUAGUGGUUUUCAAAUAAGCCACCUGAUAAUCCUUAACUUAGGGCUUAAUAGAGGAUGUCGCUAGCAUUGUAGUUUUCCAAAACUGUUUUUCAAAGCCCAACAAUGUGUUUAGUUGAAAAUAGGUUUUUUUUCAAAACCAAAAAUUUUGUUUUGAAAAUACGUAUGUGACCGUAUAUACUUAAUCCAGCUCCGAUACCAGCUGUGGCAGAACCUCCCAAGUUAUUGGGCCCACAUGCACCUGUCCUUGUCUCAAAGAACUCAGACGGCCAUGCAUGUGCACCAGAUAACUUAACAGGAUCCGUCCGAUUGCCCCACGGACACCGGAUAAACCACUUACAACCAGAACCGCGGGAUUAAGUAAUACAAAUCACACACAUCAAUAUUUUGCAGCGGAAAUCUUAUUACCAAAUUUUACAAGUUACAAAAAUUUUACUUCGUACAUGAUCAGAGUGAUUACUACAUUGAUUCAAAGAAAGAAACUUUGAACGGUUAUAAAUUAUUUAUAGUUUUGAAAUAUAUAUGCUAGCUCAAGUGACCAUCCUCAAUAAGAAGAUAAAGACGGGGUAUACUUAUAUAAGAAGGCCGAGCCCACCGGCACUUAACACCAUCAACAGCAGCACAAAACUAUAACCUGAAAAACAACAGGGAAUAAAACCCUGAGUAUGGAAUUACUCAGCAAGUCUUACCCGACUAAGGAAAAGACUCUCAAGGGUAUGCUGGAUAAAUAGGAAUCAAGGUGAGGCUUUAGCAAGAAUCAACUUAGAUACUUUUGCAGAAAUAGCUUACUAAAGUGAGUCCUUACUUUCAAUAUUUUAACGCCAGAUUAAAUAUUUAAUAGACUCUGUUUGCAUCUAGUCUAAUUUCAUCAUCUCAUCAAUACAACAUCAUUUUUAUCCAUAGUGUUCACAUCUUGACUUAGGUUGUAGGUCGGAGCUCAAGUCUCCACUGUCCGGGGAUAUAACGGCGAUCCGAAUCGAUUUACUCAGCUGAGGAUCUCUAACCACACGACAUAUGUUUCUCGUAAACCUUGAUUUCUACUAUUCCCACGGAUCCUCCACUGCAUGAACAGGUCUGCGCCACCCGAGAGUACACCACCCCUUUUAGGCGAUCCGUUGCCAGGAGGGUACGUGCCACUCUCGCCAUCUCUCCACGCCCAGUGCGCGAUUGUCUUUUCAUGUAUGGAAUAGCCGGGUUCAAGCUUACCCUGUCCCAUUCUCAGGGCAUGUGGCUAGAUAAGAUAGUCCUUGAUCAACAGGCCUACAUACGCAUCCAAUCCUUAAUUGACCCGGGCGGAGCAUCACCUGUUCCUAGCCCAAGUCUCGAUUUAAGUAUUUCCAUCCUAAGAUUGUGUCUGUUCCUUAGGAUGAAAGAGCAUCACAGGGAACUUUGCAGUAAGAUCCCACUAUUGCUCCAAAUGAAAAUAUUCUUGCAGGUAGAAGCCAUCCUCUCCAUGGUUAAAUUGAGGACAACCUCUAUCCACAAGAUCUAAGCAAGGCUAAGCAUUUUUGUAAAUCAUAUUUUGAUACUUCACCAGAAGUAUCUAUAAAGGUAUGGAUAUCAAGGAAAGCAAUGCAUCAAAGGGUUUCAAGCAAUUCCUAUGAACCUAAUGCACAUUUCACUAGACUUAAGUGUGCAAAAAGUAUUUAAAAACACAAGGAAAGGGGUUGCAUGCACCGGGGCUUGCCUGGGUAACACUAGGUUAGUGUUGUUAGACGAUGAUCCUUUGGCGAGCAGCUCACAUCCUGGCACUUGAUCAGACAUGUUCGUCCAUCAGCAUCACCGUGCGGAGUAGCCCGCGCUUGGGGUCGACUUGGCUCG
RNAcentral lists this long non-coding RNA (7528 nucleotides) under Zea mays. Its description in RNAcentral is "long non-coding RNA (ZMAY_LNC005320)". Lineage: Eukaryota; Viridiplantae; Streptophyta; Magnoliopsida; Poales; Poaceae. The record is from RNAcentral.